UGGGGAAUCUUGCGCAAUGGGCGAAAGCCUGACGCAGCAACGCCGCGUGUGUGAUGAAGGUCUUCGGAUCGUAAAGCACUGUCGGGAGGGACGAAUAAGGCGGCGGCUAACAUCCGCAGCUGAUGACGGUACCUCCAAAGGAAGCACCGGCUAACUCUGUGCCAGCAGCCGCGGUAAUACAGAGGGUGCAAGCGUUGUUCGGAAUUAUUGGGCGUAAAGCGCGUGUAGGCGGUCCUGCAAGUUGGGUGUGAAAGCCCUCGGCUUAACCGAGGAAGUGCGCCCAAAACUGCAUGGCUUGAGUACCGGAGAGGGUGGCGGAAUUCCCGGUGUAGAGGUGAAAUUCGUAGAUAUCGGGAGGAACACCAGCGGCGAAGGCGGCCACCUGGACGGAUACUGACGCUGAGACGCGAAAGCGUGGGGAGCAAACA
This 428-nucleotide ribosomal RNA is filed under the name uncultured Anaeromyxobacter sp. RNAcentral describes it as "bacterial SSU rRNA". It matches the Rfam family "Bacterial small subunit ribosomal RNA", at positions 355 to 774 of the family's 1533-position model. Lineage: Bacteria; Pseudomonadati; Myxococcota; Myxococcia; Myxococcales; Anaeromyxobacteraceae. The record is from RNAcentral.